Molecule: ribosomal RNA, 430 nt
Filed under: uncultured bacterium
Lineage: Bacteria
Description: bacterial SSU rRNA
Rfam family: Bacterial small subunit ribosomal RNA
Source: RNAcentral
UCGAGAAUAAUUCACAAUGGGGGCAACCCUGAUGGUGCAACGCCGCGUGGAGGAUGACGGUCUUCGGAUUGUAAACUCCUGUCAUCCGGGAGUAAGACCCGGUCGUGAAUAGCGGCCGGGGUUGAUAGUACCGGAAGAGGAAGGGACGGCUAACUUCGUGCCAGCAGCCGCGGUAAUACGAAGGUCCCGAGCGUUGUUCGGAAUCACUGGGCGUAAAGGGAGCGUAGGCGGCGCGGUAAGUCAGAUGUGAAAUCCCGGGACUCAACCCCGGAACCGCAUCCGAUACUGCCGCGCUUAGAGGAUUGGAGAGGUAGCUGGAAUUCUUGGUGUAGCAGUGAAAUGCGUGGAUAUCAAGAGGAACACUCGUGGCGAAAGCGAGCUACUGGACAACUCCUGACGCUGAGGCUCGAAGGCCAGGGUAGCGAGAGGG